Molecule: long non-coding RNA, 553 nt
Filed under: Salvia miltiorrhiza (redroot sage)
Lineage: Eukaryota; Viridiplantae; Streptophyta; Magnoliopsida; Lamiales; Lamiaceae
Description: long non-coding RNA (SMIL_LNC012661)
Source: RNAcentral
AAAUUAUUACAGUCCCGAGAAUUCAACGCAAAAGGAGUUUAAAUGUCCAAUCAACACCCAUCCCUACGCUCCAUACCAGCCACCCUAUACCUACCCAAUUCAACUUUAGCCCAUGCCUAAGGGAGGCCAUCUGGUGGGCGGCCCUGUUGCUGUCAGCCGGAGUAAGGGACUAGGGUUUUCUGGUGGCGGCUCUUGGCUGCGGUUGCAGGGAAUCAAAAGAGGGUGGGCCGCUGAGACGGUGUGCUGUGCGUGAGAGACGACGGAGAGGGAGAUCGGUGGUAGGGGUACGAGUGGCGGUGGUCGUGGCUGCGACGGCGGCUGUUUCCGCCGGGGAAGAAGGGUCGGCGCCGCUGGUUCAGGAUGUGUGUGUGUGAUGUUAUGUUUUCAAGGAGAGAGAGUUGUGAGAGCAGAGGGUGGCCGGAGAGGCGGCGACUUCGCCAGGAAGGAAAGGGGGCGGUGGUUGUGAGUCCAGUGUGUGUGCGUUGAGAGAGAGAGAGAGUUUAGAGAAGAUGCGAAGAAAUCGGCUGGGUCAAGAAGAAAAAAAAAGAAGGGU